RNAcentral lists this ribosomal RNA (468 nucleotides) under uncultured bacterium. Its description in RNAcentral is "partial 16S ribosomal RNA". It matches the Rfam family "Bacterial small subunit ribosomal RNA", at positions 28 to 507 of the family's 1533-position model. The record is from RNAcentral.
GACGAACGCUGGCGGCGUGCUUAACACAUGCCAGUCGAACGGAAAGGCCCUGCUUUUGUGGGGUGCUCGAGUGGCGAACGGGUGAGUAACACGUGAGUAACCUGCCCUUGACUUUGGGAUAACUUCAGGAAACUGGGGCUAAUACCGGAUAGGAGCUCCUGCUGCAUGGUGGGGGUUGGAAAGUUUCGGCGGUUGGGGAUGGACUCGCGGCUUAUCAGCUUGUUGGUGGGGUAGUGGCUUACCAAGGCUUUGACGGGUAGCCGGCCUGAGAGGGUGACCGGCCACAUGGGGACUGGGAUACGGCCCAGAAUCCUACGGGAGGAAGCAGUGGGGAAUAUUGCACAAUGGGCGGAAGCCUGAUGCAGCAACGCCGCGUGCGGGAUGACGGCCUUCGGGUUGUAAACCGCUUUCGCCUGUGACGAAGCGUGAGUGACGGUAAUGGGUAAAGAAGCACCGGCUAACUACGUG